This 55-nucleotide small nucleolar RNA is filed under the name Oryza longistaminata (longstamen rice). Its description in RNAcentral is "snoRNA U54". It matches the Rfam family "Small nucleolar RNA U54". Rfam says of the family: U54 is a C/D box small nucleolar RNA, which acts as a methylation guide for 18S ribosomal RNA in plants. Lineage: Eukaryota; Viridiplantae; Streptophyta; Magnoliopsida; Poales; Poaceae. The record is from RNAcentral.
AGCUCUGUGAUUUGAACCAAUCACAUUGGUUUUAUACUCUAUCCUGAUUGGAGCU